RNAcentral lists this unclassified non-coding RNA (409 nucleotides) under uncultured fungus. RNAcentral's name for it is "partial contains 5.8S ribosomal RNA, internal transcribed spacer 2, and large subunit ribosomal RNA". The record is from RNAcentral. Lineage: Eukaryota; Fungi.
AACGCACAUUGCGCUCUAUGGUAUUCCGUGGAGCAUGCUUGUUUGAGAACCGUGAUCACCUCUCAAACCCCAUCUCAUCCGCAAGGGUGCAGAGAAGGGUUUGGACUUUGAGCAUUCUGUCUGAAAAGAUAGUUGUCUCCAAAUGCAUCGCCUUUGGUUUCACACAUUUGUGUGAAUGAAACGAGGUCUAUUUUGUCGCCAAGACGUGAUGAGCAUGAUCUCCUUGUGAGGUUUGUGUUAGCGUCGACACAAGGCACAAAUGUAAGUGGCCUCAAAUCUUUCUGUGGCGUUGUGCAUCUCCUUGUGAGGUCACCCUGUUGGUGUGUGGUGUGGAACUUCCAGGCCACCGCUUUAACUUGUAUUCCUGAACAAUGGUCUCAAAUCAAGCAAGAGGACCCGCUGAACUUAA